This 497-nucleotide ribosomal RNA is filed under the name uncultured bacterium. RNAcentral describes it as "partial 16S ribosomal RNA". It matches the Rfam family "Bacterial small subunit ribosomal RNA", at positions 28 to 507 of the family's 1533-position model. The record is from RNAcentral.
GAUGAACGCUGGCGGCGUGCCUAAUACAUGCAAGUCGAGCGAACAGACGAGGAGCUUGCUCCUCUGACGUUAGCGGCGGACGGGUGAGUAACACGUGGAUAACCUACCUAUAAGACUGGGAUAACUUCGGGAAACCGGAGCUAAUACCGGAUAAUAUAUUGAACCGCAUGGUUCAAUAGUGAAAGACGGUUUUGCUGUCACUUAUAGAUGGAUCCGCGCCGCAUUAGCUAGUUGGUAAGGUAACGGCUUACCAAGGCAACGAUGCGUAGCCGACCUGAGAGGGUGGUAGGCGACAUGGGAAGGGGGCCAGGGUCAAGACGACUAAGGGAGGAAGCAGAAGGGAAUCUUCCGCAACGGGCGAGAGCCUGACGGAGCAAGGCCGAGUGAGUGAGGAAGGCGUUCGGAUCGUAAAGCUCUGUUAUUAGGGAAGAACAAAUGUGUAAGUAGCUAUGCCCGUCUUGACGGUACCUAAUCAGAAAGCCACGGCUAACUACGUG